RNAcentral lists this long non-coding RNA (318 nucleotides) under Gallus gallus (chicken). Its description in RNAcentral is "long non-coding RNA NONGGAT002076". Lineage: Eukaryota; Metazoa; Chordata; Aves; Galliformes; Phasianidae. The record is from RNAcentral.
CGGCCAAAGAGGAGUUCUGCCAGCGCAACAAGGAGGCGUCGGAGCAGCGGUGCCGCACGGUGCUGCAGGAGCUGUGGAGGGACGUGGAGCUCCGCCUGCAGCGUGGGGACUACGUGGCACGUGGUGGUGCUCAGCUGUUCAAGGAUGACCUGCACCGCGUGCUGGAGGAGUACAAGCAGCGGCCUGACAAGGGUGUCAGGGCGGAGACGGUGCUGAAGGAGUUCCUGCGGGAGCACGAGGGGCUGGCACAGGUGCUGAAGGCCACUGAGGUGCAGCUGGAGCUGGCAGAGCGGCAGCAGGAGGCGGCAGCAGCCGAGG